UAGGGAAUAUUAGAAAUGGACGAAAGUCUGAUCUAGCGACACCGCGUGUGCGAUGAAGGCCUUCGGGUUGUAAAGCACUUUUUGGAAGGAAUAGGAAGGAAUGUACUUCCAGAAUAAGUCUCGGCUAACUACGUGCCAGCAGCCGCGGUAACACGUAGGAGGCAAACGUUAUCCGGAUUUACUGGGCGUAAAGCGCGUGUAGGUGGUACUGUAAGUAGGGCGUGAAAGCUCCUGGCUCAACUGGGAGAGGCCGUUCUAAACUACAGAACUAGAGGAUGGUAGAGGGAGGUGGAAUUCCAGGUGUAGCGGUGGAAUGCGCAGAUAUCUGGAGGAACACCGGUGGCGAAGGCGGCCUCCUGGACCAUUCCUGACACUCAGACGCGAAAGCUAGGGUAGCAAACG
RNAcentral lists this ribosomal RNA (402 nucleotides) under uncultured prokaryote. Its description in RNAcentral is "bacterial SSU rRNA". It matches the Rfam family "Bacterial small subunit ribosomal RNA", at positions 355 to 774 of the family's 1533-position model. The record is from RNAcentral.